CCAAGCUACAAAGGGCCAACGGUGGAUGCCUUGGCGUCUACUACCGAUGAAGGACGUGGGAGGCUGCGAAAAGCCUCGGGAAGUCGCCGACCAGACUGUGAUCCGAGGAUGUCCGAAUGGGGAAACCCACUACCCGUCAUGGGGUAGUACUCCCGCCUGAACACAUAGGGCGGCGAGAGGGAACCGGGUGAAUUGAAACAUCUCAGUAACCCGAGGAAAGGAAAGUAACAACGACUCCGUAAGUAGCGGCGAGCGAACGCGGAUGAGCCUAAACCUGGCUGGUGUGAUAGCCCAGCAGCGUUGCCAACCAGGGGUCGUGGGACCAAAUAGAGAAGGGCUGGCCUUCUCACAGAGUUACAAACGUGCUGUGUAGUGGAACCGUCUGGAAAGUCGGACCGCAGCGGGUAACAGUCCCGUACACGAAACAUAUGCACACUCUGAUUUGUGCUCCCGAGUAACGCCGGAUCCGGGAAAGCCGGCGUGAAUCCACGAGGACCACCUCGUAAGGCUAAGUAUACGUAGACGACCGAUAGUGCACUAGUACCGUGAGGGAAAGGUGAAAAGUACCCCGGGAGGGGAGUGAAAUAGUACCUGAAACCGUUGGCCUACAAGCAGUCAGAGCGUCGCCAUGGACUUGUCCAUGGUCGUGAUGGCGUGCCUUUUGAAGAAUGAGCCAACGAGUUACGGUGUGUGGCAAGGUUAACCCGUGAGGGGAAGCCGGAGCGAAAGCGAGUCUGAACAGGGCGUUCAGUCGCAUGCUGUAGACCCGAAGCCGGGUGAUCUAUCCAUGGGCAGUGUGAAGCGGGGGUAAGACUCCGUGGAGGCGCGAACCGACCUCGGUUGAAAACGGGGCGGAUGACCUGUGGAUAGGGGUGAAAGGCCAAGCAAACCCGGUGAUAGCUGGUUCUCCGCGAAAUGUAUUUAGGUACAGCGUCGCAUGUUCAUCGAUGGAGGUAGAGCACUGAAUAGGCUAGGGGGCCCACAAGCUUACUGACCCUAAUCAAACUCCGAAUGCCAUCGAUCUAGAGUGCGGCAGUGAGACCCCGGGGGAUGAGCUUCGGGGUCGAAAGGGAAACAGCCCAGACCGUCGGCUAAGGCCCCAAAAUUCACACUAAGUGGUAAACGAUGUGGGAUUGCAUAGACAGCCAGGAGGUUGGCUUAGAAGCAGCCACCCUUGAAAGAGUGCGUAAUAGCUCACUGGUCGAGUGAUCCUGCGCGGACAAUGUAACGGGGCUCAAGUGUGAUGCCGAAGCCACGGGUUCGCCUUUCGAGGCGAGCGGUAGCGGAGCGUCGAUCUCGCGGUGAAGCGGCAGGGGAACCUGUCGUGGAGCGUGGUCGAGUGAGAAUGUUGGCAUGAGUAGCGAAAGAGGAGUGAGAAGCUCCUCCGCCGAAUAUCCAAGGGUUCCUGGGCAAGGCUAAUCCUCCCAGGGUAAGUCGGGAGCUAAGGCGAGGCCGAGAGGCGUAGUCGAUGCACAACCGGUUGAUAUUCCGGUACCACCGUGUCCGCGCCCAUUCCAAUUCAGAGUUGCUAAGGGGAUGCCCGGAGGUUUACUUCCGGUACGAUCCGACCCACUCCGAGGCGGAAAGCUGUAGGGGGACGCAGGAAGGUAGGUGAUCCCAGGCGAUGGUUGUCCUGGGGUAAGCGUGUAGGGAGAAGGUUAGGCAAAUCCGACCUUCAUAUAUCCUGAGACGCGAUACCGAAGCCGUAUGGCCUAAGUCACUGAUCCUAUGCUGCCAAGAAAAGCCUAGCAGCGAGUUGGCACGGUGCCCGUACCCCAAACCAACACAGGUGGAUAGGUAGAGAAUACCAAGGCGAUUGGGAGAACUGUGGUUAAGGAACUCGGCAAAAUGCAUGCGUAACUUCGGGAUAAGCAUGACCUCGUUAGGGUGAAGGGACUUGCUCCCGGAGCUCGAAGAGGUGGCACAGAAUUGGGGGAAGCGACUGUUUACUAAAAACACAGCAGCGUGCGAAGCCGAAAGGCGCUGUAUACGCUGUGACGCCUGCCCAAUGCUGGAAGGUCACGGGGAAGGGUUAGCCCUAGGGCGAAGCUCUGAACCUAAGCCCCAGUGAAUGGCGGCCGUAACUAUAACGGUCCUAAGGUAGCGAAAUUCCUUGUCGGGUAAGUUCCGACCUGCACGAAUGGCGUAACGACUUCCCUACUGUCUCAACCACAGACCCAGCGAAAUUGAAGUACGAGUAAAGAUGCUCGUUAGCUGUAGAAGGACGGAAAGACCCCGUGGACCUUUACUAUAGCUUGAUAUUGAGUCUUGUCAUGCGUUGUGUAGGAUAGGUGGGAGGCUAGGAAGCAUGCACGCCAGUGUGUGUGGAGCCACCCUUGAAAUACCACCCUGCGUAUGGCGGGACUCUCACCCUGACCCGUUAUCCGGGCCGGGGACAGUGUCAGGUGGGUAGUUUGACUGGGGCGGUCGCCUCCUAAAGAGUAACGGAGGCGCCCAAAGGUUCCCUCAGGCUGGUUGGCAAUCAGCCGUCGAGUGCAAUGGCACAAGGGAGCUUGACUGCGAGACAUACACGUCGAGCAGGUGCGAAAGCAGGGCAUAGUGAUCCGGCGGUUGCGUGUGGAAGCGCCGUCGCUCAACGGAUAAAAGGUACCCCGGGGAUAACAGGCUAAUCUUCCCCAAGAGUCCAUAUCGACGGGAAGGUUUGGCACCUCGAUGUCGGCUCAUCGCAUCCUGGGGCUGAAGCAGGUCCCAAGGGUUGGGCUGUUCGCCCAUUAAAGCGGUACGCGAGCUGGGUUUAGAACGUCGUGAGACAGUUCGGUCCCUAUCCUCUACAGCCGGAAGUGACUUGAGAAAAGCUGUCCCUAGUACGAGAGGACCGGGAUGGACGCAGCUCUCGUGUGCCAGUUGUCCUGCCAAGGGCAUGGCUGGUUAGCGACCUGCGGGCGAGAUAACCGCUGAAAGCAUCUAAGCGGGAAGCUCCUUUCAAGAUGAGGUCACUCACAGGGUCAACCUGGUAAGGCCCGUGGUAGACCACCACGUUGAUAGGCCGGAAGUGUAAGCGCGGUAACGCGUUCAGCUGACCGGUACUAAUCGGCCGAGGGCUUGGUUUC
This 3071-nucleotide ribosomal RNA is filed under the name activated sludge metagenome. RNAcentral describes it as "bacterial LSU rRNA". It matches the Rfam family "Bacterial large subunit ribosomal RNA". The record is from RNAcentral.